Molecule: long non-coding RNA, 437 nt
Organism: Prinia subflava (tawny-flanked prinia)
Lineage: Eukaryota; Metazoa; Chordata; Aves; Passeriformes; Cisticolidae
Exons: 3
Source: RefSeq, a predicted model, not a curated record
GCCGCCCCAAGAGCGGCGGCCGUGGCCGCGGAGGUGCGGGGGCAGCGGGCGGCUCCUCAGCCUCGGCGCACGGAGGCGUCUCCCGGCUCGCCGUGGCCCGGUGCCCCCAGCGCCCUCGGGCGAGAGAGCUCCGGCGCCUGGGGCAAGGCAGAGGCUGCAGCUUCGCAAGUACGACGUGAGCCCUGACUGAGGGUGAGAGCUAGAGAUGGUACCGCAGGCACAUCCCUCCUUCGGCAGGCACGCAGAGGGAGAGCUGACACAGAGCAGCAAGGUUUCCUGCUUCCCCUCCAGUGUGAUGCCAUACGAUCAGCACGGUGACAGGCACGCAGAGCUAGAUUCUGCUUGGUGUUGAGAGGAUGACAAACCUGACACAGAAGAGGAAGGCACAAGAAUGAACACUGACAAUACCAAGCCUCAGCAUUCACCAUCACUGCCAG